RNAcentral lists this ribosomal RNA (253 nucleotides) under uncultured bacterium. RNAcentral describes it as "partial 16S ribosomal RNA". It matches the Rfam family "Bacterial small subunit ribosomal RNA", at positions 524 to 776 of the family's 1533-position model. The record is from RNAcentral.
UACGUAGGGUGCAAGCAUUAAUCGGAUUUAUUGGGCGUAAAGGGCGCGUAGGCGGGGAUAUAAGUCAGAUGUGAAAUCCCGGAGCUCAACUCCGGAACUGCAUUUGAAACUGUAACUCUAGAGGGUAGGCGGGGAAAAUGGAAUUCCACAAGUAGCGGUGAAAUGCGUAGAUAUGUGGAAGAACACCGGUGGCGAAGGCGAUUUUCUAGCUUACACCUGACGCUAAUGCGCGAAAGCAAGGGGAUCAAACAGG